GUCUACCAUGCAAGUCGAACGAGGCCUGGGGGGCAACUCCCAGAGUCGAGUGGCGGACGGGUGAGUAACACGUGGGUAACCUGCCCGGAAGUGGGGAAUACCUCGGGGAAACUCGAGCUAAUUCCGCAUGACAUCUUCGGGACGAAAGUCCUGACGAUCAAAGCGGGGUCGCAAGAUCUCGCGCUACCGGAUGGGCCCGCGCCCGAUUAGCUAGUUGGUGAGGUAACGGCUCACCAAGGCUUCGAUCGGUAACCGGCCUGAGAGGGCGAUCGGUCACACCGGAACUGAGACACGGUCCGGACUCCUACGGGAGGCAGCAGUGGGGAAUCUUGCGCAAUGGGCGAAAGCCUGACGCAGCAACGCCGCGUGGAGGAUGAAGGCCUUUGGGUUGUAAACUCCUGUCGGCUGGGAAGAAAUCAUACGGCGCUCAUACCGCCGUAUGUUGACUGUACCAGCAAAGGAAGCCCCGGCUAACUCUGUGCCAGCAGCCGCGGUAAUACAGAGGGGGCCAGCGUUAUUCGGAAUUAUUGGGCGUAAAGGGCGCGUAGGCGGCCAUGCGUGUCUUCCGUGAAAUCCCUCGGCUUAACUGAGGACGUGCGGAAGAAACUGCAAGCUUCGAGUCCGGGAGAGGGGGGUGGAAUUCCCAGUGUAGCGGUGAAAUGCGUAGAUAUUGGGAGGAACACCGGUGGCGAAGGCGGCCCCCUGGACCGGUACUGACGCUGAGGCGCGAAAGCGUGGGUAGCAAACGGGAUUAGAUACCCCGGUAGUCCACGCCGUAAACGAUGGGCACUUGGUGUCGCGGGUAUCGACCCCUGCGGUGCCGAAGCUAACGCAUUAAGUGCCCCGCCUGGGGAGUACGGUCGCAAGGCUGAAACUCAAAGGAAUUGACGGGGGCCCGCACAAGCGGUGGAGCAUGUGGUUCAAUUCGAAGCAACGCGAAGAACCUUACCUGGG
RNAcentral lists this ribosomal RNA (954 nucleotides) under uncultured bacterium. RNAcentral describes it as "bacterial SSU rRNA". It matches the Rfam family "Bacterial small subunit ribosomal RNA", at positions 46 to 979 of the family's 1533-position model. The record is from RNAcentral.